UACGAAGGGGGCUAGCGUUGCUCGGAAUUACUGGGCGUAAAGGGAGCGUAGGCGGGUUAUCAAGUUGGAGGUGAAAGCCCAGGGCUCAACCUUGGAAUUGCCUUCAAAACUGAUAGCCUAGAGUAUGAUAGAGGUAAGUGGAACUCCGAGUGUAGAGGUGAAAUUCGUAGAUAUUCGGAAGAACACCAGUGGCGAAGGCGACUUACUGGAUCAUGACUGACGCUGAGGCUCGAAAGCGUGGGGAGCAAACAGGAUUAGAUACCCUGGUAGUCCACGCUGUAAACGAUGAUUGCUAGUUGUCAGCCGGCAUGCCGGUUGGUGACGCAGCUAACGCAUUAAGCAAUCCGCCUGGGGAGUACGGUCGCAAGAUUAAA
RNAcentral lists this ribosomal RNA (374 nucleotides) under uncultured bacterium. Its description in RNAcentral is "bacterial SSU rRNA". It matches the Rfam family "Bacterial small subunit ribosomal RNA", at positions 524 to 898 of the family's 1533-position model. The record is from RNAcentral.